AUGGCACCAACAAAACUGGGAGCUAGGAGCCCUCUAAUGGAGGCAGCUGUGGGCUUUGCACUGGGAGCUGUGGCAGGCUGCAUACUGGGAGCCACAGAGGACCCAGUGGACGAGACCCUGUCAGUGAUGACUACAGCCGAUUCACUGAAACCAGUGAUGGAGGAAGCCAGGAAAGUUGGUGCUCUGGGGCUGGGGGCCCUUAUUGGAGCCACAGCACUGACCACAGCAAUGACCUCAGUUGUAGCUGGUGUGAUUCUGGCAGCAGCGGUAGCUUCAGUGUUUGUGGCCACUAAGAGCUGCGGUGCCUCCCACAUAAACUCUGUUGGCUUGUGGGCAUCGGCAGGACUUGCUGGGGCCUUCGGGACCACUCUCAGUGGAGCCACACUCGGGGUUGCUAUCGAAUGGAUUGUGAAGAAUUACAGCAUGAUGGGCCUCCUGUAUGCACUGAGCAUAUUCACCGUGCUCAAACCGCCCCUGCACUUUGUAUUUAAGCUCCUCUGGAAGCAGGGAGAGUCCUAUUGCACUCUGGGACCUACAUUCAGGGCCAGGGAGAGGGAACAAAUUGAGAUCAUAGAGUCACAGCAGAGACAGAGAGUGGCUGUGGAGAUAGAGCAGAGGAUCCUGAUGUUGGAGAAGGGAGGCAGCAUCAGCGGGACAGAGCAGAGAACACUGUGGACCACGGAGCAAAGGCAGAGAGUGGAGAUGGAGAGGCAGAAGAUGGAGAGUGAGGAGGCAGAGAUAAAGCAAAGAACCAUCCAAGACUGGAUCAACACCGUGGUGGUCAAAUAUGUGGACUUCUUGGCUUUCUCAGGGAUACCAAUGACAGUAGUUGCCAUAGUAACAUCAGGGUUUGGGGUGUUUGGUUACGGAGGCCACCAGUCUGUGUUUAUAGUACUUCUGGCAUUGGUUGGAGUCAUAGCCUAUUUGCUGCUGAACUCAUCUGACUUUAAGUUCUGGAUGUUGGUCGGGUGCAUGGGAAUGCUCACAACGUUUGUCAUCGCCAUGCUCACACUGCACGCUGGCCAGGUGGUCGUAACAACCGCCAUGAAGAUGAGAGCAGCGGGGCAGGGUCAGUCAAGAGAAAACAUCACUGCUCGUAUGAACCACCAGUCCUCUCUUGAAGCUCUGAAUGCAGCUUUCUUCGUGGCAAAACUAUGUGAGCUGGGUUUGGGGGCUACGGUGGGGGGGCCGCUGGUGAGGCGAGCAGCCGGAGAGGUGAAAGUCAUAGCUGGAGCGGCCCUUGUGGCACUGGGUUUACUGGCUGGGGUAGAGGUUUUCGCCCCGGUGCUGGGAGGAGGAGGUAAAGCUGGGGCACUGCUGGGGGUGGUAGGAGCAGCGGGGGUGUCUGUGGGAGCAGCGGCGGCUGUGGCUGGAAGGUGGUCCUCAUGGCAAGGAACUCUGGGAACAAUAGCAGGGUUGGUUAUAGGAGCACUGGGGGUUGGAAAAUGGCAUAUUGUUAACAUUGGACUGCAGGUGCCUGUGGCCUAUGUCUUCGCUAUGACCAAUCCAUUUUAA
This 1515-nucleotide long non-coding RNA is filed under the name Dicentrarchus labrax (European seabass). RNAcentral describes it as "lncRNA (ENSDLAG00005033911.1)". Lineage: Eukaryota; Metazoa; Chordata; Actinopteri; Moronidae. The record is from RNAcentral.